AACAAACGCUGGCGGCGUGUCUUAAGCAUGCAAGUUGAGCGGCAAGGAGGAGAGAUCCUCCCUAGAGCGGCGGACUGGUGAGUAACGCGUGGGUAAUCUAUCGUAGGCAUGGGGAUAGUCACUAGAAAUAGUGGGUGAUACCGAAUACGUUCCAUGAGGGGAGUACUUAUGGAAGAAAGGGUGCUAUGGCACUGGCCUUAGGUGAGCUCGCGUCCCAUUAGCUAGUUGGUGAGGUAAAGGCCCACCAAGGCGAUGAUGGGUAGCCGGCCUGAGAGGGUGUACGGCCACACUGGGACUGAGAUACGGCCCAGACUCCUACGGGAGGCAGCAGCUAAGAAUAUUCCGCAAUGGACGAAAGUCUGACGGAGCGACGCCGCGUGGAUGAAGAAGGCCGAAAGGUUGUAAAGUUCUUUUGCUAGGGGAGAAUAAGUGAGGGAGGGAAUGCCCUCAUGAUGACAAGGACUAGCGAAUAAGCCCCGGCAACUACGUGCC
This 492-nucleotide ribosomal RNA is filed under the name uncultured bacterium. Its description in RNAcentral is "bacterial SSU rRNA". It matches the Rfam family "Bacterial small subunit ribosomal RNA", at positions 29 to 509 of the family's 1533-position model. The record is from RNAcentral.